This 379-nucleotide ribosomal RNA is filed under the name uncultured cyanobacterium. RNAcentral's name for it is "bacterial SSU rRNA". It matches the Rfam family "Bacterial small subunit ribosomal RNA", at positions 376 to 770 of the family's 1533-position model. The record is from RNAcentral. Lineage: Bacteria; Bacillati; Cyanobacteriota.
CGAAAGCCUGACGGAGCAACGCCGCGUGAGGGAUGAAGGCCUCUGGGCUGUAAACCUCUUUUCUCAAGGAAGAAGAUCUGACGGUACUUGAGGAAUAAGCCACGGCUAAUUCCGUGCCAGCAGCCGCGGUAAUACGGGAGUGGCAAGCGUUAUCCGGAAUUAUUGGGCGUAAAGCGUCCGCAGGCGGCCUGUUAAGUCUGUCGUUAAAGCGUGGAGCUUAACUCCAUUUCAGCGAUGGAAACUACAGGGCUUGAGUGUGGUAGGGGCAGAGGGAAUUCCCGGUGUAGCGGUGAAAUGCGUAGAUAUCGGGAAGAACACCAGUGGCGACGGCGCUCUGCUGGGCCAUAACUGACGCUCAUGGAUGAAAGCCAGGGGAGCG